RNAcentral lists this ribosomal RNA (407 nucleotides) under uncultured bacterium. RNAcentral's name for it is "partial 16S ribosomal RNA". It matches the Rfam family "Bacterial small subunit ribosomal RNA", at positions 30 to 526 of the family's 1533-position model. The record is from RNAcentral.
AUUGAACGCUGGCGGCAGGCCUAACACAUGCAAGUCGAGCGGAGCGGCCGACGGGCGGGUAAGAACUGGGAAGGGGCCUGGUCGAGGGGGAGAAAGAUCGGCAACGGACGCUAAUACCGCAUACUAUCAGUUGAGCCUAGAUGGGAUUAGCUAGGUGGUGAGGUAAUGGCUCACCAAGGCGACGAUCCGUACCUGGUCUGAGAGGAUGAUCAGUCACACUGGAACUGAGACACGGUCCAGACUCCUACGGGAGGCAGCAGUGGGGAAUAUUGGACAAUGGGCGCAAGCCUGAUGCAGCCAUGCCGCGUGUGUGAAGAAGGUCUUCGGAUUGUAAAGUACUUUAAGUUGGGAGGCGUUACCGACAGAAUAAGCACCGGCUAACUCCGUGCCAGCAGCCGCGGUAAUAC